UCAGGAUGGCCGAGUGGUCUUACGGUCCAGACUCAAGUUCUGGUCUUCAUAAGAGGGCAUGGGUUCAAAUCCUACUGUUUUGAG
RNAcentral lists this transfer RNA (84 nucleotides) under Olea europaea subsp. europaea. Its description in RNAcentral is "tRNA.Leu". The record is from RNAcentral. Lineage: Eukaryota; Viridiplantae; Streptophyta; Magnoliopsida; Lamiales; Oleaceae.